GCGUCAGUAGCUCAAUUGGCAGAGUUCCGAACUCCAAAUCCGGCGGUUGUAGGUUCGAUUCCUACCUGGCGCG
RNAcentral lists this transfer RNA (73 nucleotides) under Stenotrophomonas phage vB_SmaS-DLP_6. It matches the Rfam family "tRNA". From Rfam's summary of the family: Transfer RNA (tRNA) molecules are approximately 80 nucleotides in length. The record is from Rfam by way of RNAcentral. Lineage: Duplodnaviria; Heunggongvirae; Uroviricota; Caudoviricetes.